CGGCUUAUAAGCUGAAGCGAACAGGCCACAUGUCUCCUAGACUCCUACCCGUUCCGACACUCCCUGCCACAGCGGCUGAAGGACAUCCCCUAAAUCCCUAAUCGAUGGAUCUACCAUACAAUACAUAUGCAUUGUGAAGAGCAGACACUAAAGUGAAUUUGAUCACCAAGCGAAGCACCUGGAGUCCGGAGAUAUACACUUUGACAGGUCACAGAACCUCGAUGGAUCUACCAUACAAUACAUAUGCAUUGUGAAGAGCAGACACUAAAGUGAAUUUGAUCACCAAGCGAAGCACCUGGAGUCCGGAGAUAUACACUUUGACAGGUCACAGAACCUCUACAGCCACAAGACAGACAGGCC
This 360-nucleotide long non-coding RNA is filed under the name Setaria italica (foxtail millet). RNAcentral describes it as "long non-coding RNA (SITA_LNC002316)". Lineage: Eukaryota; Viridiplantae; Streptophyta; Magnoliopsida; Poales; Poaceae. The record is from RNAcentral.